RNAcentral lists this ribosomal RNA (229 nucleotides) under Salvelinus alpinus (Arctic char). Its description in RNAcentral is "partial 12S ribosomal RNA". The record is from RNAcentral. Lineage: Eukaryota; Metazoa; Chordata; Actinopteri; Salmoniformes; Salmonidae.
AUACCACCGUCGUCAGCUUNNNNNNNGAAGGCCCGAUAGUAAGCAAAAUGGGUAAAACCCAAAACGUCAGGUCGAGGUGUAGCGCAUGGGGUGGGAAGAAAUGGGCUACAUUCUCUAAAUUAGAGCACUACGAACCACGUUGUGAAACCAACGUCCGAAGGUGGAUUUAGCAGUAAACAGAAAACAGAGAGUUCUCUUGAAACUGGCUCUGAGGCGCGCACACACCGCC